RNAcentral lists this ribosomal RNA (464 nucleotides) under Vreelandella stevensii. Its description in RNAcentral is "partial 16S ribosomal RNA". It matches the Rfam family "Bacterial small subunit ribosomal RNA", at positions 338 to 795 of the family's 1533-position model. The record is from RNAcentral. Lineage: Bacteria; Pseudomonadati; Pseudomonadota; Gammaproteobacteria; Oceanospirillales; Halomonadaceae.
CCUACGGAGCGCAGCAGUGGGGAAUAUUGGACAAUGGGCGAAAGCCUGAUCCAGCCAUGCCGCGUGUGUGAAGAAGGCCUUCGGGUUGUAAAGCACUUUCAGUGGGGAAGAAAGCCUUGGGGCUAAUACCCUCGAGGAAGGACAUCACCCACAGAAGAAGCACCGGCUAACUCCGUGCCAGCAGCCGCGGUAAUACGGAGGGUGCGAGCGUUAAUCGGAAUUACUGGGCGUAAAGCGCGCGUAGGCGGUCUGAUAAGCCGGUUGUGAAAGCCCCGGGCUCAACCUGGGAACGGCAUCCGGAACUGUCAGGCUAGAGUGCAGGAGAGGAAGGUAGAAUUCCCGGUGUAGCGGUGAAAUGCGUAGAGAUCGGGAGGAAUACCAGUGGCGAAGGCGGCCUUCUGGACUGACACUGACGCUGAGGUGCGAAAGCGUGGGUAGCAAACAGGAUUAGAUCCCGAGUAGUC